CCUACGGGAGGCAGCAGUAGGGAAUAUUGCGCAAUGGACGAAAGUCUGACGCAGCGACACCGUGUGAAGGAUGAAGGUCCUCGGAUCGUAAACUUCUGUCAAUUGGGGACGAAGGUACUUAGGGUUAAUAGCCUUAAGUAUGACGGUACCC
This 151-nucleotide ribosomal RNA is filed under the name uncultured bacterium. Its description in RNAcentral is "partial 16S ribosomal RNA". It matches the Rfam family "Bacterial small subunit ribosomal RNA", at positions 338 to 480 of the family's 1533-position model. The record is from RNAcentral.